RNAcentral lists this small RNA (594 nucleotides) under Pan troglodytes (chimpanzee). RNAcentral describes it as "processed transcript". Lineage: Eukaryota; Metazoa; Chordata; Mammalia; Primates; Hominidae. The record is from RNAcentral.
AAUUUCUACGCGCACCGGAAGACGGAGGUCCUCUUUCCUUGCCUAACGCAGCCAUGGCUCGUGGUCCCAAGAAGCAUCUGAAGCGGGUGGCAGCUCCAAAGCAUUGGAUGCUGGAUAAAUUGACCGGUGUGUUUGCUCCUCGUCCAUCCACCGGUCCCCACAAGUUGAGAGAGUGUCUCCCCCUCAUCAUUUUCCUAAGGAACAGACUUAAGUAUGCCCUGACAGGAGAUGAAGUAAAGAAGAUUUGCAUGCAGCGGUUCAUUAAAAUCGAUGGCAAGGUCCGAACUGAUAUAACCUACCCUGCUGGAUUCAUGGAUGUCAUCAGCAUUGACAAGACGGGAGAGAAUUUCCGUCUGAUCUAUGACACCAAGGGUCGCUUUGCUGUACAUCGUAUUACACCUGAGGAGGCCAAGCCUUGUUAACAGCAGGCUGGAGGGCACGUCCAGUGGGAUCUGUGAUUAUUUGAUUUACUUCAAGGAUAUCAGGGAGUAGAGAUCCAAAAUUGAAAUGCUAUGUGAAGUAUUUGUUGAUUGGAUGAACUGGUAAUGUAAUUGCUGUUUGUGAGACAAAACUCAGUCGUGAUGUACAGGGAGC